Xenia sp. Carnegie-2017 is the source of this 171-nucleotide long non-coding RNA. RefSeq lists it as uncharacterized. NCBI's taxonomy places the organism in Eukaryota, Metazoa, Cnidaria, Anthozoa, Malacalcyonacea, Xeniidae. The record is from RefSeq and is a predicted model, not a curated record. The transcript is spliced from 3 exons.
GAGUAUGGAACAGUUGCUUUCAAUGAUGACUUGAUCGACGUCAUUGGUUCGGAUAGCGCUACAACUUGUCAGAUUGUUGUGAUCCGUCAUGAAGGUACAGGAGAUUGUAGUUUAACCCAUUUAGAUGGUGCGAGCACGAAACAGGCGUUAAAAGACAUGAUUGGGUCGCUC